AAUGAACGCUGGCGGCGCGCCUAAUACAUGCAAGUCGAGCGAGAAGACGUAGCAAUACGUUUGUAAAGCGGCGAACGGGUGAGGAAUACAUGGGUAACCUACCCUCGAGUGGGGAAUAACUAGCCGAAAGGUUAGCUAAUACCGCGUACGCUCCUUGGACUUCGGUUCAGGGAGGAAAGCGAUACCGUGGGUAUCGCGCUCUUGGUUGGGCUCAUGUCCUAUCAGCUUGUUGGGAGGUAACGGCUCACCAAGGCUUCGACGGGUAGCUGGUCUGAGAGGACGAUCAGCCACACUGGCACUGCGACACGGGCCAGACUCCUACGGGAGGCAGCAGUAAGGAAUAUUGCGCAAUGGGCGAAAGCCUGACGCAGCGACGCCGCGUGGGGGAUGAAGGUCUUCGGAUUGUAAACCCCUUUCGGGAGGGAAGAUGGAACGAGCAAUCGUUCGGACGGUACCUCC
Molecule: ribosomal RNA, 459 nt
Filed under: uncultured bacterium
Lineage: Bacteria
Description: bacterial SSU rRNA
Rfam family: Bacterial small subunit ribosomal RNA
Source: RNAcentral